GAUGAACGCUGGCGGCGUGCCUAAUACAUGCAAGUCGAGCGAAAGGACGAGACGCUUGCGUCUCUGACGUUAGCGGCGGGCGGGUGAGUAACACGUGUAUAACCUACCUAUCAGACUGGGAUAACUUCGGGACACCGGAUCUUAUACGGGAUAAUCUUUUGCACCGUAGUGUGCAAAGGUGAGAGACGGUCUUUCGGUCUGUAAUAGCGGGUUACGGGCUGCAUUAGCUAGUUGGUACGGUAACGGGUUACGACGGCUACGAGGCAUAAACGAACGGAGGGAGUGAUAGGCGACACUGGAACUGAGCCACGGUCCAGACUCCUACGGGAGGCAGCAGUAGGGAAUCGGACGCAAUGGGCGAAAGCCUGACGGAGCAACGCCGCGUGAGUGAUGAAGGUCUUCGGAUCGUAAAGCUCGGUUAUUAGGGAAGAACAUAUGUGUAAGGAACUGUGCACAUCGUGACGGUAACUAAUCAGAAAGCCACGGCUAACUACGUG
RNAcentral lists this ribosomal RNA (497 nucleotides) under uncultured bacterium. RNAcentral describes it as "partial 16S ribosomal RNA". It matches the Rfam family "Bacterial small subunit ribosomal RNA", at positions 28 to 507 of the family's 1533-position model. The record is from RNAcentral.